GAUGAACGCUAGCUACAGGCUUAACACAUGCAAGUCGAGGGGAAACGGCAUCGAAAGCUUGCUUUUGAUGGGCGUCGACCGGCGCACGGGUGAGUAACGCGUAUCCAACCUGCCCAUCACUUGGGAAUAACCUUGCGAAAGUAAGACUAAUGCCCAAUGACAUCCCACGAAGGCAUCCGAAUGGGAUUAAAGAUUUAUCGGUGAUGGAUGGGGAUGCGUCUGAUUAGCUUGUUGGCGGGGUGACGGCCCACCAAGGCAACGAUCAGUAGGGGUUCUGAGAGGAAGGUCCCCCACAUUGGAACUGAGACACGGUCCAAACUCCUACGGGAGGCAGCAGUGAGGAAUAUUGGUCAAUCGGCGAGAGCCUGAACCAGCCAAGUAGCGUGCAGGAUGACGGCCCUAUGGGUUGUAAACUGCUUUUAUAAGGGAAUAAAGUGGGUCACGUGUGACUUUUUGCAUGUACCUUAUGAAUAAGGACCGGCUAAUUCCGUG
Molecule: ribosomal RNA, 492 nt
Filed under: uncultured bacterium
Lineage: Bacteria
Description: partial 16S ribosomal RNA
Rfam family: Bacterial small subunit ribosomal RNA
Source: RNAcentral